RNAcentral lists this transfer RNA (65 nucleotides) under Lachesilla sp. Lasp7Q. Its description in RNAcentral is "tRNA-Ile". The record is from RNAcentral. Lineage: Eukaryota; Metazoa; Arthropoda; Insecta; Psocodea; Lachesillidae.
AAUAAAGUGCCUGAUAAAAGGAUUAUCUUGAUAGGAUAAAUCAUGUACAAAAUGUACUUUUAUUA